GCUGGGUGUGGUGGAGCAUGCCUGUAAUCCCAGUGAUUUGUGGGGCUGAGGCAGGGGGAUCAUGAAGUUGAGGCCAGUCUCAUCAACUUAGCAAGAACCUGUCUCAA
Molecule: small RNA, 107 nt
Filed under: Marmota monax (woodchuck)
Lineage: Eukaryota; Metazoa; Chordata; Mammalia; Rodentia; Sciuridae
Source: RNAcentral